AAGGCCACCCUGAGCUACAUGAAAUAGAUCCAUUCUAAAAGAGAAACAGAGCUCACACAAAGGUGAUCUCAGCACUUGGGAUCCCACACCUUUAAUCCCAGGAGGAGACAUGAGCUCAAUGCAGUCUGAGUGGCAGUGCAGUCGGGAGCAGUCUGAGAUUCAGUGGAUCUUCAGUCUGAGCAUUAGUAGAGAAGGGACCAAUAGCCCGGACUUUCACAUUCCUUACCUGCCUCUGGAGACAGGCCUCCUGGCCACAAGAAAGGAAUUUCUCCUUUGAUCUCAGCCUUGGGAUCUUCUAAGAACCCCAGCCCAUGUGACGCUGCUGCCCACAGUUAAGAAAGGGUCUUCUCUCUUCAACCUAAUCUACAAUCAAUCAUUCAUAGCUUGUCUCCUAGGUCCUGUCGAGUUGACAACAUUAAGUAUCACAACCCCAGACCAGAAGGUGUCCUGUCAAGUUUCAGCCAUUUAUAAACACACUGUGACUCCCAAAGUCAAGUUGUCAUCCAGCACACUGGACCUGACUCACAAGGGCCAAGCACACGUCCUGGGAUGGACACCCAAUCCCUCGCUUCCUUCGUCCCUUUGGUGUCCCUGAUGUCUCAGGUCCUGCUGUCCUGCUGCCUGUGCCCACAGGGUCCCUAUUUCUACACCUAUCCAUUUUGGAUAAUAGUGGGUUUCCCCCUACCUCCCUGUGUAUCAUCAGUUUACAAGAUGAAUUCAUUGUUUCUAACAUCAAAACUGGGUAGCAUCUCAGAGCAUAAUGAACUUAUUUUAAAAAAAAAACAACAGGUAACAAAAUUAUCCACAGGAAAUAAUGAGCCGAACAAGAAACUGAGAAUUAAAGAGCCUGGUCCCUCGAUCAAGGUCUGCUGUACACACCAGGAGUUGAUCUGUGUGUGCAGGUGCUCCUGAGUCGAGCCUGGGGUACACAGUUACUUCAGCAUUACAAAUCCUACUUUCUUCACUGCUAAUAUGAGAAAAAUAGUAGUGCCUACUGAAUAGGAUUAUUGUGAGGGUUAAAUUAAGUCUAAAGUCCUUAGUGUCCAAUACAGUAUAAAGAUAGUGGGCUUGGAGAGGUGGCUUAGCAGUCGGGAGCACUUACUGUUCUUCCAGAAGACGCAAGUUUUAUUCCCAACAUCCAUGUCAACUGGCCUACAGCCUCCUAUAAUUAACUCCAGCCCUGAGGGAUCAAAAAGUCCUCUUCUGGCCUCUGUGGGCACCCAUACAAAUAUGUGGGUGGGAAACAUUCAUAGGGACAUAACACCCAUAUAUGUGGGAAAUAUGUUGGUUUUUUUCUACAAAGGUAGUAAGCCUAACUGACAAAAGAAACUGCCUUGCUGAAUUACUCUGGUUUUGUUCACCAGUG
This is a long non-coding RNA of Mesocricetus auratus (golden hamster), 1366 nucleotides long. RefSeq lists it as uncharacterized. Lineage: Eukaryota; Metazoa; Chordata; Mammalia; Rodentia; Cricetidae. The record is from RefSeq and is a predicted model, not a curated record. The transcript is spliced from 3 exons.